Stegodyphus dumicola is the source of this 803-nucleotide long non-coding RNA. The record is from RefSeq and is a predicted model, not a curated record. Lineage: Eukaryota; Metazoa; Arthropoda; Arachnida; Araneae; Eresidae.
GGCCUAAUAUUUUAUGCCCCUAAAAUUAAUAUUGAAAUUUCUAAAAUGUUGAAAAAUAUGUCAUCUGGAUUCUGUACAAAAAAUAUAAUCCCCUUUUUCAUUUCUGCAUUUGCAAUUCCUGCAUUUUCUUUAUUCCUACAUUUUUUAAUUGGAAGGAAUUUCAUUCGCAGAGCCCUCUAAUUUAUUCUUACAAAUCAUGUAGUAAUGUACCAUUUUAGAUAGAUAUAAAUAACACAUUUUGUAAUUUUUCUAAACUGUGGUUAUACAGCAUGAUAUAAUAGCUACACAGGGUAUGGCGAAACAGUAUACAGCAAUAUCUGUCGCACUGUCUGAGAUGGGUGGUAGUCAUACAUAGCUUAAUGCUUAAAUUUGUUAUGUGUUAUUUAUUUAUUCAUGUUUUUUUUUUUUUUUUUUUUUUUAAUUAUGUUAUAGCAGUUUAUUUCUUUCAUUCUUAGGUCCGGAAGUGAAAAAUUUGACUUUUCUACGCCAGAAGUUACAGCUAAUGUUCCUAAGACAAACCAGGCUUUCCUGAGUUCUGAUCUGGACAUUUCAGUUAUUGACUCUGACGUAGAAGGUAGAAAUACAAGCUCUCUUUUGGGGUAAAUAUGUAUUUCUCUAUGCCAAAAUUAAAAUGUCAUCAUUUAUGUUUUUCUUUUAUGGUGUUACAUUAUGUUGUUUACAUACUGAUAGCUAUUAAAACUGUUAAAUAUAAUAUUGUAGCUAUCAAAAAGAGGGGGAUGAAUUUGAUUUGUACCAAAUUUGGACGUUUUGCAUGAAAGAACUUGAAAAUAAAAGAUUUUUUU